GACGAACGCUGGCGGCGUGCUUAACACAUGCAAGUCGAACGGAAAGGCCCCUUUGGGGGUACUCGAGUGGCGAACGGGUGAGUAACACGUGAGUAACCUGCCCUUGACUUCGGGAUAACUUCAGGAAACUGGGGCUAAUACCGGAUAGGAAUCCUUGCUGCAUGGGGGGGGUUGGAAAGCUUCGGCGGUUUUGGAUGGACUCGCGGCUUAUCAGCUUGUUGGUGGGGUAGUGGCUUACCAAGGCUUUGACGGGUAGCCGGCCUGAGAGGGCGACCGGCCACAUUGGGACUGAGAUACGGCCCAGACUCCUACGGGAGGCAGCAGUGGGGAAUAUUGCACAAUGGGCGGAAGCCGGAUGCAGCAACGCCGCGUGCGGGAUGACGGCCUUCGGGUUGUAAACCGCUUUCAGCAGGGGCGAAGCUUGUGGUGACGGUACCUGCAGAAGAAGCACCGGCUAACUACGUG
RNAcentral lists this ribosomal RNA (465 nucleotides) under uncultured bacterium. RNAcentral's name for it is "partial 16S ribosomal RNA". It matches the Rfam family "Bacterial small subunit ribosomal RNA", at positions 28 to 507 of the family's 1533-position model. The record is from RNAcentral.